This 594-nucleotide ribosomal RNA is filed under the name Penicillium glabrum. RNAcentral describes it as "partial large subunit ribosomal RNA". It matches the Rfam family "Eukaryotic large subunit ribosomal RNA", at positions 51 to 659 of the family's 3401-position model. Lineage: Eukaryota; Fungi; Ascomycota; Eurotiomycetes; Eurotiales; Aspergillaceae. The record is from RNAcentral.
CGGAGGAAAAGAAACCAACAGGGAUUACCUCAGUAACGGCGAGUGAAGCGGUAAGAGCUCAAAUUUGAAAGCUGGCUCCUUCGGGGUCCGCAUUGUAAUUUGCAGAGGAUGUUUCGGGAGCAGCCCCCAUCUAAGUGUCCUGGAACGGACCGUCAUAGAGGGUGAGAAUCCCGUAUGGGAUGGGGUGUCUGCGCCCAUGUGAAACUCCUUCGACGAGUCGAGUUGUUUGGGAAUGCAGCUCUAAAUGGGUGGUAAAUUUCAUCUAAAGCUAAAUAUUGGCCNGGAGACCGAUAGCGCACAAGUAGAGUGAUCGAAAGAUGAAAAGCACUUUGAAAAGAGAGUUAAAAAGCACGUGAAAUUGUUGAAAGGGAAGCGCUUGCGAUCAGACUCGCCUUGGGGGUUCAGCCGGCAUUCGUGCCGGUGUACUUCCCCCAGGGCGGGCCAGCGUCGGUUUGGGUGGCCGGUCAAAGGCCCUUGGAAUGUAACGCCUCUCGGGGCGUCUUAUAGCCAAGGGUGCCAUGCGGCCUACCUGGACCGAGGAACGCGCUUCGGCUCGGACGCUGGCAUAAUGGUCGUAAGCGACCCGUCUUGAAA